This 492-nucleotide ribosomal RNA is filed under the name uncultured bacterium. RNAcentral's name for it is "partial 16S ribosomal RNA". It matches the Rfam family "Bacterial small subunit ribosomal RNA", at positions 29 to 507 of the family's 1533-position model. The record is from RNAcentral.
AGUGAACGCUGGCGGUAGGCCUAACACAUGCAAGUCGAACGGCAGCACAGUAAGAGCUUGCUCUUACGGGUGGCGAGUGGCGGACGGGUGAGGAAUACAUCGGAUUCUACUUUUUCGUGGGUGAUAACGUAGGGAAACUUACGCUAAUACCGCAUACGACCUACGGGUGAAAGCAGGGGAUCUUCGGACCUUGCGCGAUUGAAUGAGCCUAUGUCGGAUUAGCUAGUUGGCGGGGUAAAGGCCCACCACGGCGACGAUCCGUAGCUGGUCUGAGAGGAUGAUCCGCCACACUGGAACUGAGACACGGUCCAGACUCCUACGGGAGGCAGCAGUGGGGAAUAUUACACAAUGGGCGCAAGCCUGAUCCAGCAAUACCGCGUGAGUGAAGAAGGCCUUCGGGUUGUAAAGCCCUUUUGUUGGGAAAGAAAAACAGCAGGUUAAUACGCCGCUGUUCUGACGGUACCCAAAGAAUAAGCACCGGCUAACUUCGUG